This 967-nucleotide ribosomal RNA is filed under the name uncultured bacterium. RNAcentral's name for it is "bacterial SSU rRNA". It matches the Rfam family "Bacterial small subunit ribosomal RNA", at positions 8 to 1001 of the family's 1533-position model. The record is from RNAcentral.
AGAGUUUGAUCAUGGCUCAGCCUGAACGCUGGCGGCGUGGCUAAGACAUGCAAGUCGCACGGAGGUAGCAAUACCUCAGUGGCGAACGGGUGAGUAAUGAAUCGCUAAUGUACCCCGGACUCUGGGAUAGCCGCCCGAAAGGGCAGGUAAUACCAGAUGAUAUAACCUGACGGCAUCGUUGGGUUCUCAAAGGUCCGCCGGUCUGGGAGCAGGCGAUUUUGUAUCAGCUUGUUGGUGAGGUAACGGCUCACCAAGGCGACGACGCAUAGCCGGACUGAGAGGUUGGCCGGCCACAUUGGGACUGAGACACUGCCCAGACUCCUACGGGGGGCUGCAGUAACGAAUCUUCCGCAAUGUACGAAAGUAUGACGGAGCGACGCCGCGUGCAGGACGAAGCCCUUCGGGGUGUAAACUGCUGUCAGGGGUUAGAAAGUUCUGAUCAACCCCAGAGGAAGGCACGGCUAACUCUGUGCCAGCAGCCGCGGUAAGACAGAGGUGCCGAGCGUUAGGCGGAAUCACUGGGCUUAAAGCGUGUGUAGGCGGACUUCUAAGUACCUUGUGAAAUCCCACGGCUUAACCGUGGAACUGCUUGGUAUACUGGUUGUCUUGGGCCAUCUAGGGGCUACCGGAACAAACGGUGGAGCGGUGAAAUGCGUAGAUAUCGUUUGGAACGCCAAUGGUGAAAACAGGUAGCUGGGGAUGUGCCGACGCUGAGACACGAAAGCCAGGGGAGCGAACGGGAUUAGAUACCCCGGUAGUCCUGGCUGUAAACGAUGUCGACUAGAUCGUAGUGGCUCUAACGCUAUUACGGUCGAAGCAAAAGUGCUAAGUCGACCGCCUGGGAAGUACGGUCGCAAGGCUAAAACUCAAAGGAAUUGACGGGGGCUCACACAAGCGGUGGAGCAUGUGGUUCAAUUCGAAGCAACGCGCAGAACCUUACCUGGGCUUGACAUGCUAGGAUAUCUCU